AACGAACGCUGGCGGCAUGCCUAACACAUGCAAGUCGAACGAGACCUUCGGGUCUAGUGGCGCACGGGUGCGUAACGCGUGGGAACCUGCCCUUAGGUUCGGAAUAACUCCCCGAAAGGGGUGCUAAUACCGGAUAAUGUCUUCGGACCAAAGAUUUAUCGCCUUUGGUUGGGCCCGCGUUGGAUUAGCUAGUUGGUAGUGUAAAAGCCUACCAAGGGGGAGAUCCAUAACUGGUCUGAGAGGAUGAUCAGCCACACUUGGACUGAGACCCCGCCCAGAAUUCCGCGGGAGGCAGCAGUGGGGAAUAUUGGAAAAUGGGCGAAAGCCUGAUCCAGCAAUGCCGCGUGAGUGAUGAAGGCCUUAGGGUUGUAAAGCUCUUUUACCCGGGAUGAUAAUGACAGUACCGGGAGAAUAAGCUCCGGCUAACUCCGUG
This 433-nucleotide ribosomal RNA is filed under the name uncultured bacterium. RNAcentral describes it as "partial 16S ribosomal RNA". It matches the Rfam family "Bacterial small subunit ribosomal RNA", at positions 29 to 507 of the family's 1533-position model. The record is from RNAcentral.